Molecule: long non-coding RNA, 975 nt
Organism: Galeopterus variegatus (Sunda flying lemur)
Lineage: Eukaryota; Metazoa; Chordata; Mammalia; Dermoptera; Cynocephalidae
Exons: 2
Source: RefSeq, a predicted model, not a curated record
GUGCGCCACCGGGCCGGCCCCUACUUAACCCUUUUAAGGGCCCUUUUGUAAGCCCACGCUGACUCAGUUACUCCCACCCCUGGGGACCCCACCAUGGAUACUCCCCAGGCUUUAACCCCAGGGAAUAGCUUCUUACUGAAAAAACCACAUGCAAAAACUCUACAGCCCAGGUGGACUGGUCCCCACACGGUGGUUCUAACCACCCCCACAGCCACAAAACUCCUGGGACACCAUCCCUGGGUACACCUUUCCAAACUUAAGCAUGCCCCCCCUGAGGCCCCAUCCCAAGAUGUAUGGACAGCACAGCCCUUGGGGCCUAUGCGGGUUCGGCUAUCACGUCCUCCUGACUCUGUCUCUUAGUCCCACUGCUACUGUUUCAGGAUAUAGAUGGAGAUUUUAGUUAACAGAAACCUGGACAAAGUAUGUCUAUCUGUGCAGAGUUCUCCAAGUGUUAAAGCAGAAGCUUACUGAAAAAAGGGUAAAAAGUAUUUUUGAAAGUCAUACUGCUAUGAGAAAUGUUAUCAGAACUAUCAGCAUACAUUUUCCCCCUGGGUUUACUGGUCAAACAGGGUUGCAUUUACCUCUGCUUGAAGGUUUUAAAGCCAAAGUUGUGAAUGCAGCCAAAACGGAUCAUUCUGUAUGCAAUUCUUAGGCAAAUGAGGCUAAUUUGGUUAUUGUUGCUAAAAAGGAAACAAGAUUGUAGGAAAAGAGGAGAUAUGGGAAAGCUAUGAAGAUGUCGUUAUGGUUAGGAAGGUCAAAAAGAAAAAAAUACUUUUGUGUGGGAAAGCAUCUUGUGUAGUGAAUUUUGUCCUAGAAUAGAAUGGCUGAAAUAAUAAGUAUGUGAGGUAAUGAAUGUUAAUCAGCCUGAUUUUGUCAUUUCACAAUGUAUACAUGUCUUGAAACACUACAUUGUACCUCAUGAACAUACAAAGCUAUAGUCUGCCAGUUAAAACAAAAUAAAAUUUUUAAAAGACA